Molecule: ribosomal RNA, 774 nt
Filed under: uncultured Neocallimastigales
Lineage: Eukaryota; Fungi; Neocallimastigomycota; Neocallimastigomycetes; Neocallimastigales
Description: partial large subunit ribosomal RNA
Rfam family: Eukaryotic large subunit ribosomal RNA
Source: RNAcentral
UACGACUACAUAUCAGGCAUAUCAAUAAGCGGAGGAAAAGAAACUAACAAGGAUUCCCUUAGUAACGGCGAGUGAAGCGGGAAGAGCUCAAAUUUGAAAUCUUCAAGGUUUUACCUUGACGAAUUGUAGUUUAAAGAAGUGUUUUCUGUUGAAGUUUUGGUAAAAGUUCUUUGGAAUAGGACAUCAUAGAGGGUGAGAAUCCCGUAUUUGACCAUUAUUUUCAGCUGUGUGAUACACUUUCAAAGAGUCGGAUUGUUUGGGAAUGCAGUCCAAAAUGGGUGGUAAAUUUCAUCUAAAGCUAAAUAUUGGCGAGAGACCGAUAGCGAACAAGUACCGUGAGGGAAAGAUGAAAAGAACUUUGAAAAGAGAGUUAAACAGUACGUGAAAUUGUCAAAAGGGAAGCGUUUGACACCAGUGUUGUUUUCUCGAAAAUCAAUUAAGAAAAGUUGGAUUUUGUGUUGUAUUGACCUUAACAGCUUGCUUCACUCUUUUCCAGCUUUUUUUAAUGCACUUUUCGUUUAACAAGUCAACAUCAGUUUCUUUUGUUGUAAAAGGGUCAUUGGAAGGUGGCUUUCUCUUCGGAGAAAGUGUUUAUAGCCUUAGAUCUCUGCAAUCGGAGAGACUGAGGUCUGCAGCGUAGAUCCUUCGGGGUUAGAUACAUUUGUGCUAAGCUACAGCUUUUCAUAGACAACUUGUUGACUAUGUUUAGUCUUGUGACUUACCCGCUUAUGCUAUUUUACCUACGCUUAGGAUGUUGAGCGCAUGUCUCUCUCU